CCUACGGGAGGCAGCAGUGGGGGAUAUUGCACAAUGGGGGGAACCCUGAUGCAGCGACGCCGCGUGGGUGAAGGAGUGCUUCGGCAUGUAAAGCCCUAUCGGCAGGGAAGAAGCAAGACGGUACCUGACCAAGAAGCCGCGGCUAACUACGUGCCAGCAGCCGCGGUAAUACGGAGGGGGCGAGCGUUAUCCGGAUUCACUGGGUGUAACGGGAGCGUAGACGACCAAGCAAGCCAGGGGUGAAAGCCCGGGGCCCAACCCCGGUACUGCCCUUGGAACUGAAUGGCUUGAGUGCGGGAGGGGCAGGCGGAAUUCCUGGUGUAGCGGUGAAAUGCGUAGAUAUCAGGAGGAACACCGGCGGCGAAGGCGGCCUGCUGGACCGCGACUGACGUUGAGGCUCGAAAGCGUGGGGAGCGAACAGGAUUAGAUACCCUGGUAGUC
RNAcentral lists this ribosomal RNA (441 nucleotides) under uncultured bacterium. Its description in RNAcentral is "partial 16S ribosomal RNA". It matches the Rfam family "Bacterial small subunit ribosomal RNA", at positions 338 to 795 of the family's 1533-position model. The record is from RNAcentral.